This 380-nucleotide ribosomal RNA is filed under the name uncultured Shewanellaceae bacterium. RNAcentral's name for it is "bacterial SSU rRNA". It matches the Rfam family "Bacterial small subunit ribosomal RNA", at positions 497 to 876 of the family's 1533-position model. The record is from RNAcentral. Lineage: Bacteria; Pseudomonadati; Pseudomonadota; Gammaproteobacteria; Alteromonadales; Shewanellaceae.
CUAACUUCGUGCCAGCAGCCGCGGUAAUACGAGGGGUGCAAGCGUUAAUCGGAAUUACUGGGCGUAAAGCGUACGCAGGCGGUUUGUUAAGCAAGAUGUGAAAGCCCCGGGCUCAACCUGGGAACUGCAUUUUGAACUGGCAAACUAGAGUCUUGUAGAGGGGGGUAGAAUUUCAGGUGUAGCGGUGAAAUGCGUAGAGAUCUGAAGGAAUACCGGUGGCGAAGGCGGCCCCCUGGACAAAGACUGACGCUCAGGUACGAAAGCGUGGGGAGCAAACAGGAUUAGAUACCCUGGUAGUCCACGCCGUAAACGAUGUCUACUCGGAGUUUGGUGUCUUGAACACUGGGCUCUCAAGCUAACGCAUUAAGUAGACCGCCUGG